GACGAACCGUGCGAACGUUAUUCGGAAUCAUUGGGCUUAAAGGGCGCGUAGGCGGCGAUAUAAGUUGGAAGUGAAAUCCCAUCGGCUCAACCGUGGAAUAGCUCCCAGUACUGUAUCGCUCGAGGGGGAUAGGGGUCUGCGGAACUACCGGUGGAGCGGUGAAAUGUGUUGAUAUCGGUGGGAACGCCAGUGGCGAAAGCGGCAGACUUGACCCUUCCUGACGCUGAGGCGCGAAAGCUAGGGGAGCAAACGGG
Molecule: ribosomal RNA, 254 nt
Filed under: uncultured bacterium
Lineage: Bacteria
Description: partial 16S ribosomal RNA
Rfam family: Bacterial small subunit ribosomal RNA
Source: RNAcentral